GUGGGGAAUAUUGGACAAUGGGCGCAAGCCUGAUCCAGCCAUGCCGCGUGAGUGAUGAAGGCUCUAGGGUUGUAAAUCUCUUUCACCGAUGAAGAUUAUGACGGUAGUCGGAGAAGAAGCCCCGGCUAACUUCGUGCCAGCAGCCGCGGUAAUACGAAGGGGGCUAGCGUUGUUCGGAAUUACUGGGCGUAAAGCGCACGUAGGCGGAUAUUUAAGUCAGGGGUGAAAUCCGAGAGCUCAAAUCUGGAACUGCCUUUGAUACUGGGUAUCUCGAGUAUGGAAGAGGUGAGUGGAAGUCCGGGUGUAGAGGUGAAACUCGUAGAUAUUCUGAGGAACACCAGUGGCGAAGGCGGCUCACUGGUCCAUUACUGACGCUGAGGUGCGAAAUCGUGGGGAGCAAACAGGAUUAGAAACCCUAGUAGUCC
Molecule: ribosomal RNA, 425 nt
Filed under: uncultured bacterium
Lineage: Bacteria
Description: partial 16S ribosomal RNA
Rfam family: Bacterial small subunit ribosomal RNA
Source: RNAcentral